This 516-nucleotide ribosomal RNA is filed under the name uncultured bacterium. Its description in RNAcentral is "bacterial SSU rRNA". It matches the Rfam family "Bacterial small subunit ribosomal RNA", at positions 32 to 524 of the family's 1533-position model. The record is from RNAcentral.
AAUCAACGCUGGCGGCGUGCCUCAGACAUGCAAGUCGAACGCGAAAGUCCCCUUCGGGGGACAAGUAGAGUGGCGCACGGGUGAGUAACACGUAGGUAAUCUACCUUUGGAUGGGGAAUAACAACCGGAAACGGUUGCUAAUACCGCAUAAUGCAGCGGCACCUAAUGGUGACAGUUGUUAAAGCGGGGGACUGAAAGACCUCGCGUCUGAAGAGGAGCCUGCGGCGGAUUAGCUGUUGGUAAGGUAACGGCUUACCAAGGCGACGAUCCGUAGCCGGCCUGAGAGGGCGGUCGGCCACACUGACACUGACAUACGGGUCAGACUCCUACGGGAGGCAGCAGUCGGGAAUUUUGGGCAAUGGGCGAAAGCCUGACCCAGCAACGCCGCGUGAAGGAUGAAAUCCCUCGGGAUGUAAACUUCGCAAGAACGGGAAGAAUAAGUAGGGGACAAUACCCCCUAUGAUGACGGUACCGUUUGUAAGCUCCGGCUAACUCCGUGCCAGCCGCCGCCGUAAC